UCCAGAGUCUUGCUCUUGCCCUCUUCCCCAGCCAAGUGUCUCUCCGUCGUCCACACAGAUAUUCACUGAGGCAGGGUCUGUGAUACUGUAGGCUUGCUGGUCACCAAAUCCCUGCAAAUUCUGAGUGCAUGUGUUCAUGUGUGUGUGUGUGUGUGUGUGUGCAUUUGUGUGCCUUCCUAAGCAUGUGGGAUGGGUCUGUCUUUACUCUUUGAUGUUGUGCACUACAGUGGUUCAAGGCAGGGACCGCUGGCAGCUCCUCCCUCAGCCCCUUAACAGAGACCUCCAGGGAUGGAAGCAGUGGCAAAAGGUCAGUGGCGAUUCUUGGUGAGGCCCAUGGUGGGCCCUGUAGUUACAGUGAUGGAGAAGCCCAGGUGUGGCUGGGAGACAGGAGCCCACAGCACAGAAGGCUCUCCUGGGGACAGCUAGCUCCUGCCUGUCUCUUGGGAGGCCCCUCUAGGGCCACAAAUGCCUGUCUUUUCAAGCUGUGGCUCUAAGCUCCUGGAAUAAUGCCAGCAUGGAAGAGAGAUGGCCUAGAGCUGGAAGAUGCAUGUUCAGUCCUGGUCCUGCUCCUGGGUGACCUUAGGCCAAUGCAUUGCCUCACCAGGGUCCCUGCCUGUCAGGGGCGGAUGGUGCAAGGGAAAGCCAUGGAACAGUUGUGAAGGGCUCUUCCUGACCGCAUCCCAGGGUCCUGAGGGUCCCUGAGUCUCAGAGGCAGCCUUGCCCAGAGGCCUGAGGCUGGCCUGGUUGAGGAAAGGAGGGCAAGGUGCUAGCCAGCAAGGGCCCAGCAUUCUUACCACCUCACUCUCUGAGCCUAGGGAUGCCUGGCGUCUCCGUCCAGAGAUCCAGCUGAGGUCCGAGGCCUGGCUGCUCAGUGUGGAGCGGUGGGUAGAGCGGUAGCUGGCGUAGGGGCCAGUGCGCUGGCCCGACACGCCCAGCAGCACCCCCAGGCAGGGCAGGUGCUGGGCAAUGGCCAUUCUGCAAGAACAACACAUUUGGUUAGGAGAUGGGGGUGGACCAACAGACUGAUAAAGGGCUAAUGGGAGUGGAGAGAAAGCCACUGGGGAAUUGGGGGAGUUUCAAACAUUGUAGUUAUGAGGACAGACAAUUGAUAGGGUGAUGGCGAUGGACAAAAAGACACUGGCAGUCAGAGGAGGUGAUGAGGAAGAACAGACAGAUGCUGGGGUGAAAGAGACUGACAGGCUCAUAGUGUUGGGGAUGGACAGACACUGAGGCCAUGGGCAUGGAGGGAGAGGCUUUGGGUAGCAGGUUCAGCAAGGUGCUUGGUUUCAUCUCUCACGUGGCUGGCCCAAGGCACAUCUCUUCCAAUGGGGACCAGGGACGCUCCUCUGAGCCUGCAGCUGGCCUCAGCAGGGUGGGGAGUUACUGACACCACCAGGCAAAAGAAAGCACUGAAGGACUCCUCAUGCAAGAGGCCAGCUGUGCCGGGAUUCUAUCAGCAGAGAAGGCUCUGGGCCAGAACCAGUCCCAGGCCUCUGCUAGGGCCCUUGAACUCUCCCGACUGUGGUCUCUCUAGGACAUUGCUCUCUGGGGGCUUCUCUUUCUAGCGGGUAUCACUGCUUAUUGGCCAUCUUGGCUGCCUUUGGGCCCUGGCUCCAAAAAUUCCAUAGUCAGGAUUGGACAAUGCCCAGGGAGCUCUGAUGUCCCUCCAAGCUGAGCCCCCUGGGAAACUGGGGCAGUGGGUAGAGGGGGUGCACAGCAGCUCCAGACCCCACCUAGGGUCACUGGCUGUUCCCAGCUGCUAGAGGUCCCCGUAUACAUGAGAGAUAGGAAAGAUGGCUGGCCUCUGCCCCCAUUCACUGCUUCAGGCCCUCUGUGCCCAUGAGGGUGGGUCUGGAGACCUGGGGCUGGGUCCCGGAGGAGGGCCGCACCUGUACUUGGGGUGGGUGAUGGCAUAAAUGAUGGGGUUGUGGAUGGCAGAGGCCUUGGCGAUGACAGCUGGCACCGAGUUCAUGUAGGGUGUCAGCACAUGCGCGUACCUAGGACAGAGAAGCAGUGGUCCCCCUACCAGCUGGCCCUCCUAGAGCCUCCACAGCCCACCUUCCCACUCAGGAACCUUCUUCCUCUAGGCCAGGCCCUGCAGGGCACAGCCCAACCUGGCCCAAACCAGCACAGCCAAGUCAGCCCCCCAGGAGGGACUGCCAUGCAGGGAGCGUUCUGACCGGAGGUGAGCGGGAACCAGGGGAGCAGUUGAGGGAGGGCGGCUGAGAGGAAGAUGUGCCAGGUUGGGAAGUUCCACCAGGUCCACUAUAGCUUGGAGCCUGUGCUGCUGGCAAUAAGCCCUACCCACCCCCAGUGACUCUGGCCCUCCGCCCAUCUCCUCCCCCACCCCACCCAACCCUGAGACCCACUGCUUCCCUGGCUGCCUUAGAGUGAUUUCACCAGAGAGCUUUAGGGAGGACCAGGCCAUUCCUGCACAAGGAGGUCUCGUACCCAAACAAGUUCCAGGAUUAAUAAGUAUCACUGUCUCAAAGUGCUCCUGCAUUCUGGCCUAUGUCCAUGCUGCUGUGGACAUCAAGGUCCCCAGACUCUAGCCACAAAGGACGAGCAGGCAGGGGGUGAGUGGCUCUCCUGGUUGUGUGUCCACAGGUGAAGAGGGAGCCAGAAACUCAGGGAGAGUCAAGUGUUCCCGUGGGAUCUGGCAGGACCUGGUAGCCCUUGUAGGCCCUCAGGUCAAAUCCACUGUGGUCCAGAGCUCCCCGCACCCCUAACCUGCCGCUGCCGUUGCCGGGGGGACCUACCACCACCCUCGCAGGCCCUGAAGGUCUGGAGAGCCCUAGGAUGGGUGCAAAGUCCGAGUCUGACCCCACUCUGGAUGCACUCUUACUGGCCUGUCUCCCGGAUGGCCCUGAAGAUGAAGAUGUAGCAGUAGAUGAUGACCAGCAGGGGCAAGAAGAACACAAAGCAGAAGAGGAGCAUGGUGUAGGCUCGAACUGAUGGCGUGAAGCUCAUGUAGUCCCAGGAGCAGGAGGUCAUCAGCCCCUCUGGUACGUAGGCACCUGGAAUCCGGGGUGGGGGGCAGGUGCUCAGCCUUCAGGGUAGUGUGAUUCAGUCUCCUCCUCCAGCAGGGGCUCUGGAGGUGGGGUCUGGGAUCCCUGAACACUGGUCCCAAGCCCUGCCCUUCCCAGUUCAGUGCGGAAAGCAGGGCACCUGGAGGGGAGCUUUCCAAGCCAGUUUUAGCAGGCAAAGCUCACUGCUGCCCAUUUUUGCCAGUUUGGAACAGAGACCUCACCAUAGCCCCAGGGUCUCACUCCACCAGAUUUGGCCAGGUGCUCGAUCCUGCCACAGAAAGGUGGGUGCCUUCCUGCUAACUCUCCUACCCGCUCAAGCCCCACACCCCAACACCUGCGUGUCUGACUCUGCAACUCAGCAUUGGAUACACCUGUCACUUCCCACCACCCAAGAGCCAUGUGGUCUUCCCCUGUACUGGGAGAGGGAAACCCAGGUCACACUCUGAUUGCUGAUGGCACAUCAGUUUUUUCCCUGCUGCUAGUCGUGUGCCCUGAAUAUCCAUCUGCCUUGAGCCUCAAGCACUCCCUUGGCCCCACCUGCCAGCUGGCCACCCCGAGUCUACCAACCUGCCCCUUGAACAUGCCCUUCCCAGCUUAUCUUCCCCUCUCCCGAUUCCCCCAGUCCACUUACUCCAGCCAAAGAAGGGUGGCAGACUCCAGGCUAGGGCAUAGAGCCAGACGCCCAGCAGGACAAGCGCCGCCCGCCUCUUGGACACCACCCCGAUGGUGGCCAGUGGGUGCGUGAUCACCAGGUAGCGGUCCAGAGCAAUGGCCAUCAGGGUGAUCAUGGAGGUGAUGCCAAAGAGAGCCCCACAGAAGGCAUAGAACUCGCAGCCUGUGGGCACAGCUCCCUGACCUCAGAUCUUGGCAGGAGCCCAUGAGGUACCCCAGGGGAGGGAGCGUCUGAGGAUGUCACAUACUCAGCUCCUGCCUUCUCUCCAGAAAAGCAGCCCUGAGCCCCUCUCCAGCCUGGCUACUUGCCACAUCUGGCCCAGAAGCUGAGUUUUCCCUCUUGCUCACUCAUGGGAUUGAGGGCGGCCACCCAUUCUCUGCCCAGGAAGAGCAGAUCACCUCCUUGUCCAAGGCCACCCUCCACUGUGGGCAUGGGCCACCACAACCCUCCUCCUCCCUCCAGCAUGAGGGAACCCUGAACGUCUACCUGCCUCCCCGAAGAGCCACCGCUUAUGGAGGCUGCUGGCGAAGAAGACAGGGGCCUGGGUGAAGGACAUGAAAAAGUCACUGACCGCGAGGUUGAUAAUGAACAUGUUGGCAGGUGUCCUGAGUCCUCUGCUCCUGUGGAGGGUCAGAAGCUGUCAGGAGGUGCUUCUGCUGGAGAACUUCCCUGAACUACAUGUGCACACACACACGCGUGCCCACGCACACAUGUGCACAUGUACAGUCACCAGCCACUGGGCCACAAUCCGUCUUGGUGCCUAGCCAGCACCAGCCAGAUAGCUCUGGAGCCUGACAGUGUGGACUAAGAAGUGAGGUCCCCUGAAAGACAGCAACUCUUGCCCUGUAUGGAGAGCAAUACCACUCCCAGAGUGUUGUGCAGCCCAGCAGAAGCAGGAGCUAGCUCUAGGGCUCAUCUGUUUCCUCCUCUCUCCCUCUGGAAUCCUCUGCAUGACCCACACUCUCUCCUUGGACACACCCCUCACUCCUCUGAACCCCUCCAGGCCAAGUUCUCCCAAGUGGCUCCUCCCGCAGAGCUUCUCACAUCUUCCUCCUCAGGUGCCCCUCCUUGUCCCCCUCAUUUCAGUAUUUCUGCAGUCUUCACCCUCGGGGAUGGCCCAGGCUGUGCCCUACAGGUCAGGCAAUUUCACAGACUUCUCUCCCAUAAUUAUCCAUCUUUGCAUCUAUCCCCUCCCUCUUUUCCAGAUGGGAACACGGAGGUUCCCACCCAGGAAGUGGCUUCUUCCAGAUAACAAGGCUCAGUAAGUGGCACUGCCAGGAUUCAAACACUUAUUUGAUGUGCACUGCACAGGCGUAGAUUUACUUAACCAUCACAUUGACUCCGUGAAAUCAAUCACAACUCUGUUUUGCCAACAAGAAAAACGGACUCCCAGAGGAUAAAUGACUUGUUCAAAGUCAGUUCAGCUAAUAGGUAGUAGGGUCAGAAUUCACUUCUUCACCUUCAGCCCAAGAAUGGGGCAAGUGGGGAAAGAAGCUGGGGGUGGUUUCCAAGGGUGGCUGCUGAGAGUCUUGAGGAUUAAGGGUCCUGUUGCCUGGGCUGCUCUUUGAGGCAGAGGAAGGAUACCCACUGGGGCAGGUGACAUGGAGGUAAGCUGAGAGCAGGGUAGAAUGGACAGAGGCUCGGGUAUUGUAGGGACAUUUGUCUUACAGAAACUAUGCCUGGGGCCCAUUGGCAUGUGCCACUCAAGUUGCCCUGGACUACUCUUUGGCCCCUUCCCUGAGCUGGAAGAUGGAGGCCUGCCCUGAGACCACUGAGGGCCUGGCCGUGGUGUCCCCACCCAGGCUCAACGGAGCCCUGGCAGAACUGGCACUAGAAUUCCUGCCCUGUCUUUGCAUGGCCAGCUGCCCUCAGUGCCCAUGCGCACCAACCAGGUACCUGCAGAAGGUAUAGAUGACCAUCAGAUUGCCCAGAAUCCCCGUGAGCCCCACCAGCAGGAUCACUGUGCCCAGGGUGUAGUGGGCAUGGUCCGGAACAUCAACUGUGGGGAAAGGUAUCCAGGCAGCAGCCUGAGCCCUCGCUGCCUGCAGAGAGACAGAGAAAUAAGAGCAUCACGUUAUCCUGUCAUCUUCAAAUAGCCCCGAGAAAGAAGGGUUAGGGUUCCCAUAGGGUGGGUAGGGAGACUGAGGCUCAGAGUGGCACAGCCACUUGCCACACUACUAGGAAGUGGCUGAACCAGAGUGGAAAUUCAGAUCUCUCUGAAGUCAAGCUCAAGCUCCUAUACCAUGACACAGAGGCACAAGGAUUCUAGGAUCAUCUGUUGGAGGCUGGUCGGACAGACAGACACAUGUCUGACAAGGAGGAACAUGGCUGGAGUAAGUCUACCUUUCCUUGGGGAGAAGGCAGAGCCAUCCCGUGAGUGGCUUUCUCUCCACUAUAUGGCCCUGACCCAAGCACUCAAGAUGGUCUGCAAUGGUAUUCUAGGCCCUGUAGACUCUGGGGUGGUGGGGUUGGGUAGAGCCCCUCUCCUCAAGACCCCCAGCCUCAAAGACUGCCACAGUAUAAUGGAAUGGGGCUGAGUUUGAUGCCUGGCAUGGGAGAGAGGAAAGGAAUUUCCCUUUAAAAAGAAAGCUUACGGGGCACUUGGCUUGCUCGGUCAGAAUAGCGUAUGACUCUUGAUCCUGGAGUCAUGAGUUUGAUGUUGGGUGUAGAGAUUAAUUAAAUAAAUAAACUAAAAAAAAAAAAAAAGAACACUUAAGUCUCCCAUGACCUCCCAGGGAGGUCAUGACCCUAUAGGCCAGUACAAAGGGCUUUAAAGACCCCUCUCCCCUAGCUCCUUUCCUGGGAAGGAGGACAAGUUAGUCUCUGCCUUGCCUCCUAUAGCUACAGAGCCUUUCCAUCCUAUCCAGGAUAUAGGCCUGCAUCCCAGGGUCCUAAGGGCCAGCCCUCCCCAGUUAACAGUGGGUUUGGGGGCUAUGGUCCUGGGGCCCUGGCAGGAUCUUGGACGCAACAGAAGGCACCUAACACCUCACUCUGGGCUGGACAAAUCCAGAGACCUAAGGUAUGUCUUCCUCUCUGGAAGGCUUCAUGGGACAUCCAACCACCCUCAGAAAAGAAUGGAUGCAGCCAAGGACAGAUCUGUGCCAUUCCAGCCCCUUGUCCUUUAGGGUUGACCUUUCCGUUCCUCGAAUGCACUCCACAGGGAAAGACAUUCCCUACACUGUCUUCCUUGUCCUCUUUGUGGGAUAGACUCAGAGAGGUCCAGUAACAUGACCAAGGUCCCACAGUAGAGCUCAGGCCAUUUCUAUCUCCCUGUCAAAGCCCCUGUGUGUUCCCAACAUGGAGGCCAGGGUGAGGGGAGGGGAGGCUCUGUGUGUGCACACGCUGGCCUCUGGCUUACCGUGGGACUGAUGGGUAGAGGUUGGUCCAGGCUGGAAGUGCUGCUCUGGUAGCCGUCCCACCUGCUGGGUGAAGCUGGGGUGGCCACACAGCUGGGCUCCUGGGUUCUGGGCCCUGAAGGAGGGUUCAUCCUGAAGUAGGGCCGUCCUUUCUCAAGCCCACAGAGAAGUCAAGGGCACAAGGUGCUCAGGAUAUUAGCUGUGCCCCGUCUCCCAAAUUUCCUCCUUCCUUAGCAUCCCUGCUUGAUUGGCUGGCUGCCUGUUCCUGCAUCCAGCAUGGACCGAGCCUGGAGCUGCUCUUCGAGCUGAUGACUGCUGUGUCCAGUGAAGCACAAAGGAACGAGUGUCACAGCUAUGGCGACUCACAGCCACGGGGUCUGUCCCCACCUUUAAGUAGCGGAGCGGGGAGUGCACAUGCCCAGUUGCUCAGUCCUGCGGGCUCCCUGAGAUACAGGUCCCUGGGUAUCUGUCCACAGAAGGUUUGAUGAUGGUAGUAUACAUGUGUGAAAGUGUGUGUGUGUGUGUGUGUGUGUGUGUGUGCGCAUGAGUAUGAGAGUGUGUGUCAGUGUGAAUGUGUGUGUAUAUGUGUAUUUCAGGGGAGACUGUUCUGCUUGGCCUCCUGGACAUUGGACAGGAGCCUUUGUCCUCCCCUCUGACAAGGCUCUCUCUCUUCCCCGAGCUCAUCAAGAACAGCAUCUGCUCCCUCAAUGAUGCCCGGGGUUGCCCAGUGGCGCCCAGCUUCACCCUUUCCAUGGGGUGCCCUGCCCUUAGGUUCAGCCCACAUGAGUCCAUCACAUCUUCACAACCACCCCCCUCCCAGAACCAAGGCUGGUCACCCACUCCACAGAUGAAGAAGCUGAGGAUGUGCCAGGAUAUCACACAAUCAGGGUGAGAUCACAUCACAAGGCAUUUUGUUUAUUUCUUGCCUUUGAUAAUAAAUUUUUUAAAUUGUUA
Long non-coding RNA from Acinonyx jubatus (cheetah), 8012 nucleotides. RefSeq lists it as uncharacterized. The record is from RefSeq and is a predicted model, not a curated record. NCBI's taxonomy places the organism in Eukaryota, Metazoa, Chordata, Mammalia, Carnivora, Felidae. The transcript is spliced from 3 exons.